Molecule: unclassified non-coding RNA, 1282 nt
Filed under: Eufriesea mexicana
Lineage: Eukaryota; Metazoa; Arthropoda; Insecta; Hymenoptera; Apidae
Description: translation initiation factor eIF-2B subunit gamma, transcript variant X3
Source: RNAcentral
AUGAAGAUUUUAAUGGUAAAGCGUCAGAGAAUCCAUUCGGUAAAAAGAAUGUUUCCUUAUAAAGAAUUUCAAGCAGUUGUACUAGCUGCUGGAUUUGGUUCCCGUAUGACUGAACUUACUAGAGGUGAAUACAAAUGUUUAUUACCAAUUGGAAAUAUACCAAUGCUUUGGUAUCCUCUUCAAUUACUGGAACGUGCUGGUUUUAAAGAAGCUAUUGUUAUUAUAUCUGAAUAUAUGGAGCGUGUUUCAUUAAUCCUAAAUGAUUUAAAUCUUAAAAUUAAAAUGGAUUUCGUUGUUAUCGAAAAUGCAGAAAAUAUAGGGACUGCAGAUUCCAUUAGACUUAUUCAUGAGAAAAUCCAUACAGAUUUUCUAGUGAUCCCCUGUGACUUGAUCACUGAUGUUGAUAUAUGUGAAAUUUUGAAUCUUUAUAGAAAACACAAUGCUAGUAUUACAGCACUAAUGUUGCCUGUUCCUAAAGUACCAAAUGACAUUAUAACUCCAGGUCCAAAAAACAAACAAAAACCUGAUACUGAUUUAAUUGGUAUUAACAAUGAGACAGGACGUUUAAUUUUUUUUGCAUCAGCUUCAGAUUUUGAGGAAACAAUAAAAAUUUCUCAAACAUUACUUAAGAAACAUCCAAGUUUUACUAUUCAUUCAAAAUUAAUGGAUUCUCAUUUAUAUGUCAUUAACAAAUGGGUUUUAGAUUUUCUGGUACAUAAUAAAAAUUUUACUACAUUAAAAGGUGAACUUCUUCCAUAUAUUGUUAGUAAGCAGUUUUCAAAACCCCCCAAGCAAUGUGUGGAUGAUAAAAGUACUUCUAUUGUUCAAAUGAAUUUAAAGAAAGACAUCUACAGUUUUUCAACUGAGAAGCCACUCAAUGAAUUAAUUAGGAAAAUGUCAGCUUUCAAUGAUCAUGAUACUGAUUUAGAAGAUGCAUAUUAUGGAGAUAUAAUACGAUGUUAUGCUUACAUUGAUAAUGGAAAAUUUGGUUUGAGAGCAAAUACUAUACAAAUGUAUCACUUUGCCAAUACUAAGUUACUGCAACUCUACGUAGCACACAAAUGGAAAAUUGUCGAGUUGAUCAUAAUGCUGUUAUUGAUGAAAAAACAUCUCUUAAAAAUACUCAUAUUGGACCCAAUGUAGCUGUUGAGUCAACAGCUAGAAUAUCGCAAAGUGUAUUAAUGGAAGCAGUAACAGUUCGACAGAGAUGCAUAAUACAUAAUUGUAUAUUGUGUAAUGGUUCUUUUAUUGAAGAGAAUACAGAGUUAAGGAACUGUAUAGU